UACGUAGGGGGCAAGCGUUGUCCGGAUUUAUUGGGCGUAAAGAGCGUGUAGGCGGCUUUGCAAGUCCGUUGUGAAACUCGAGGCUCAACCUCGAGACGCCGGUGGAACUGCAAAGCUAGAGUCCGGAAGAGGAGAGUGGAAUUCCUGGUGUAGCGGUGAAAUGCGCAGAUAUCAGGAAGAACACCCGUGGCGAAGGCGGCUCUCUGGGACGGUACUGACGCGAGACGCGAACGUGGGAGCGAACAGG
RNAcentral lists this ribosomal RNA (247 nucleotides) under uncultured bacterium. RNAcentral's name for it is "partial 16S ribosomal RNA". It matches the Rfam family "Bacterial small subunit ribosomal RNA", at positions 524 to 776 of the family's 1533-position model. The record is from RNAcentral.